GGCCGGUUAGCUCAGUCAGUUGAGCACAGUGCUAAUAAUGCUAAGGUCAUGGGUCCGAUUCCCGUUCGGUCC
RNAcentral lists this transfer RNA (72 nucleotides) under Apaloderma vittatum (bar-tailed trogon). It matches the Rfam family "tRNA". Rfam says of the family: Transfer RNA (tRNA) molecules are approximately 80 nucleotides in length. Their secondary structure includes four short double-helical elements and three loops (D, anti-codon, and T loops). The record is from Rfam by way of RNAcentral. Lineage: Eukaryota; Metazoa; Chordata; Aves; Trogoniformes; Trogonidae.